AGUAUGGAGAGUUUGAUUCUGGCUCAGAGCGAACGUUGGCGAUGCGUCUUAAGCAUGCAAGUCGAGCGGGCUUAUUCGGGCAACUGGAUAAGUUAGCGGCGAACUGGUGAGUAACACGUAGGUAAUCUGCCGUGAAGUGGGGGAUAACCCAUGGAAACAUGGACUAAUACCGUAUAUACUCUUGCUACAUAAGUAGAGUAGAGGAAAGUUUUUUCGCUUCACGAUGAGCCUGCGGCCUAUUAGCCUGUUGGUAGGGUAAUGGCCUACCAAAGCUACGAUAGGUAGCCGACCUGAGAGGGUGACCGGCCACAUUGGGACUGAGAUACGGCCCAGACUCCUACGGGAGGCAGCAGCUGAGAAUCUUCCACAAUGGACGAAAGUCUGAUGGAGCGACAUCGCGUGAGGGAUGAAGGCCUUCGGGUUGUAAACCUCGGAAAUUAUCGAAGAAUGAGUGACAGUAGAUAAUGUAAGCCUCGGCUAACUACGUGCCAGCAGCCGCGGUAAUACGUAGGAGGCAAACGUUGCUCGGAUUUACUGGGCGUAAAGGGUGAGUAGGCGGA
This 560-nucleotide ribosomal RNA is filed under the name Brachyspira pilosicoli. RNAcentral describes it as "bacterial SSU rRNA". It matches the Rfam family "Bacterial small subunit ribosomal RNA", at positions 1 to 579 of the family's 1533-position model. The record is from RNAcentral. Lineage: Bacteria; Pseudomonadati; Spirochaetota; Spirochaetia; Brachyspirales; Brachyspiraceae.